GCGGAUGUAGCUCAGUUGGUAGAGCAUCGCCUUGCCAUGGCGAGUGUCGCGAGUUCGAGUCUCGUCAUCCGCUCCA
RNAcentral lists this transfer RNA (76 nucleotides) under Thermoanaerobacteraceae bacterium. RNAcentral's name for it is "tRNA-Gly". It matches the Rfam family "tRNA". Rfam says of the family: Transfer RNA (tRNA) molecules are approximately 80 nucleotides in length. Their secondary structure includes four short double-helical elements and three loops (D, anti-codon, and T loops). The record is from RNAcentral. RNAcentral also lists the same sequence under 1 other name. Lineage: Bacteria; Bacillati; Bacillota; Clostridia; Thermoanaerobacterales; Thermoanaerobacteraceae.